Pocillopora verrucosa is the source of this 848-nucleotide non-coding RNA. The record is from RefSeq and is a predicted model, not a curated record. Lineage: Eukaryota; Metazoa; Cnidaria; Anthozoa; Scleractinia; Pocilloporidae.
CGGCGAGUUGGCGUCGGCGAGUUGGUCCGUCGGCGAGUUGACUGGUUACCAGCUGAAUGGCUCAAGUGCUGAUUACAAUGACAAAAACAAUUAAGCUGGAACAAAGACAAAAGCUGAUAAAAGUGACAAUAGAAAAGGAAAGUGGAAAGGGAGCAUGCCUGUAUGUGUCCUCAGCAAAAAGUUCAGAUUCAACAACAAUCAUCAUCAAGAAGCUGGAGACUAUCAGGAUUUACUGUUAACAUUAGGAAUCAAGCAUUGCAUUAACUUCAAAGUUAUGCAACUCUGUGAGGAUGGCUCUUAUUGUGUUGGAAGACUGUCAAAACAAUUUCAUUGAGACUAUCAAAUCAUCAAAGGCAUGCAAUGAGCACACACCCAUUGUAUUUAUUUCCUCUGGACCCCUGUCAGGUAAACCUGUUCCUUUCUCCCAGUAGUUACUUAUAUCACCAUGGUAACUGGCCAAAGUAGCUUCCUCUUAUUCUUUAUGAAGGGUUAAGACCAUUUAUAUAAGUUCUUUGAGACAGAGCCAACCUCCUUGACUAGUGGUAUAAGAAGAGGCUCUGUAGAAGUGUAGGUAGUUGUUAAAACUAAUUUUGAGAAAAAGAGGGUGGUCAAAAAUCUAUUGUUUAUUGUACCUGUAAUGAUGAACCUAUGUCAUUGUAGCUUUACAGGCCUGUGAUUUUCCAUCUCCUCAUUUUUUCCUGACAUCUUGCAUGAGUUAAUAGUCAGUAGUAAAUGAUAGAAAAGUGUGAUGUAUUGCAUGCCUAAUGAAAAUAACAACCAUACAAAGUCAAGUGCAUGUAGACACAACUUAAUAUAUAUUUUGCCCCUUCUAAGUAUUGGUUCAAAGA